GACGAACGCUGGCGGCGUGCCUAAUACAUGCAAGUAGAACGCUGAAGGAGGAGCUUGCUUCUCCGGAUGAGUUGCGAACGGGUGAGUAACGCGUAGGUAACCUGCCUGGUAGCGGGGGAUAACUAUUGGAAACGAUAGCUAAUACCGCAUAACAGUAGAUAUUGCAUGAUAUCUGCUUGAAAGGUGCAAUUGCAUCACUACCAGAUGGACCUGCGUUGUAUUAGCUAGUUGGUGAGGUAACGGCUCACCAAGGCGACGAUACAUAGCCGACCUGAGAGGGUGAUCGGCCACACUGGGACUGAGACACGGCCCAGACUCCUACGGGAGGCAGCAGUAGGGAAUCUUCGGCAAUGGACGGAAGUCUGACCGAGCAACGCCGCGUGAGUGAAGAAGGUUUUCGGAUCGUAAAGCUCUGUUGUAAGAGAAGAACGAGUGUGAGAGUGGAAAGUUCACACUGUGACGGUAUCUUACCAGAAAGGGACGGCUAACUACGUGCCAGCAGCCGCGGUAAUACGUAGGUCCCGAGCGUUGUCCGGAUUUAUUGGGCGUAAAGCGAGCGCAGGCGGUUAGAUAAGUCUGAAGUUAAAGGCUGCGGCUUAACCAUAGUACGCUUUGGAAACUGUUUAACUUGAGUGCAAGAGGGGAGAGUGGAAUUCCAUGUGUAGCGGUGAAAUGCGUAGAUAUAUGGAGGAACACCGGUGGCGAAAGCGUCUCUCUGGCUUGUAACUGAGCGCUGAGGCUCGAAACGUGUGGAGCAACACGAUUAUAUAUCCUUGUGAUCUAUGGGCUGAAUUCCCCAUGGAUGUCUGGCUGUGCGAGAUCCUGCUGACUGUGGGGGGAAGAAAGAAUACACUAAAUUUUUGUUCCUAUUGUGAAGGUUAAUUUAAAUGCUGCUCACACUAUGCUAUGUGAAAUGUGUGCGGUGUGUGCUUGUGUAUCUGAUGUGCUCUGAUGUCUGUCUGAGUCUGCUGGCUCGUGGUGUGGGUGAUUGGUGUCUGUUGAUGUGUGUGCACUAGGUCUGGCUGUGUGGUUUUGUGCCGCUCGUGCGUGCGUUAUUGUGUCUUGACUGAUGUGUGCGUCGUUGUGUUUUUGCUGCUGUGUUAUCAUCUAUGUGAAUGAUUCUA
RNAcentral lists this ribosomal RNA (1124 nucleotides) under uncultured Granulicatella sp. RNAcentral describes it as "bacterial SSU rRNA". The stretch from base 1 to 798 matches the Rfam family "Bacterial small subunit ribosomal RNA", at positions 28 to 873 of the family's 1533-position model. The record is from RNAcentral. Lineage: Bacteria; Bacillati; Bacillota; Bacilli; Lactobacillales; Carnobacteriaceae.